AACAUGUUACAUUAAAGAUGCUCUAAGAGCAAUUGCUAUGAAGGUAAAACAAUAUUGAAAAUUCUAAUUAAACAUUUACCAAGCCAACUAGGGGCGCGUCUAGCAUGAGAAAGGGCUCCAUGUCUCUCACCGUGCGAAGAUAAGGUGGUGCGUCCGAUAUAGGGGGUUUUUGAGAUAUGCGAGGGAGGACCAAGGGCAUGCACACACUGGAUUAAAUUUAAAAAAAAAAAAAAAAACAAGCGACACUGUUCUUUCUCCCUCUUGAUCUCCGUCGCACAGUACCUUAAAGUGCCCACCAUCUCCGCCAUCACGUCCCUCUUGCGCUCUUCGUCGUCCGAUCGCCGGUGAGGUGGUGCAUGAUCUGCACCUUGUGACGGACGUCAUUGAGAAAGACGGAACCGAUGGACGUUGUGGAGGAAGACGAAACCGCUCCUUUUAUUUUAUUUUUAAAAUUUAAUCCAAUAUAAACAUCCACACAAUAGUUCUACACGCAUCUUAAAAAAAAAGACACAUAUCCUACUACUACAGAAUCUUUGGCACCGUGGGAGACAUGUUGGGUUCCCCAACGCUAGCUUGCGUCUGCCAAGUAGCUCAACCUUUCCCACGUCUACUAAGUGUUUGAUUCAUCCCAAAAAACAGCCAUCAUAUGCACAUCAAGCACUAUUGAUCAUCAUGUAGCCUUCGGUAUCAAUGAAUUACUCUUUAUGAGCAUAGAACCCAUGUAUCAAUUGACGUUUGUCACAUCCUGUAAUAAACCCCUUUAAUUAAGAGACAUCAC
RNAcentral lists this long non-coding RNA (778 nucleotides) under Glycine max (soybean). RNAcentral describes it as "long non-coding RNA (GMAX_LNC003120)". Lineage: Eukaryota; Viridiplantae; Streptophyta; Magnoliopsida; Fabales; Fabaceae. The record is from RNAcentral.